GGCACCGCGACCGGCCGGGCCGUGAUUAAGCACUUCUGUGUUUAUCUACAGCCGGCCGGGGGAGCACCGGGCUUGUUGCUUAAUUAAAACGUUGGCGGCCGAGACGAGCGGAGUUUCCGCGUAGGGACGGCCCCGGAUUGUAAGUAAAAGCUCUACGUGCUGUUCCGCCCCGCUCCCGAGAAUGCGGUGCUGGGAAAAGUGUGAAAAUGAGCAUUGUUGUCGUGAGGGGAAUCCUCGCGCCGAGGCUGAAGGAAUGGCCCCGAGUAUUUCCCACAGCGAGGGGACAGCCCGCAGAGCCGCUCACUAAUCUGAGGGAAGAAGGCAGAAAGGUCAGGGGACUGGCCACAGAGAGCACUCAGAGCUAAGCCUAGAAAGCAGACUUCGUGUUUCCCACGCCUACGUAGCAACAACUAGACUUGGCUUGCCUACACCAGAAAAUAGACUGGCAUAGCUGGAGCUGGGUAAUUAUACCGUAACAGUUUAUGCUGGAAUAACUCUCCUUGCGGACACUCUCCUCCAGAUGGAAAGUGACUUCCCAAAAACUGUCCAAAUGAAUUCACUCAGCAGCCCACACUUGGAGUUUUGUCUUUCUCCCCCCACCUCCCCUUCCCCUCUUCAUUUUGGGGGGUAAAAAUUCCUGAGAUGUGGGUCUCAGCAGCAUUUUGAAGCCUUUGAUCACUUUUACAGACCAUUAAAAGCGGGGACAAAUGCAAAACAUGUCAUUGAAAUGCUACAAGUCUUGUUGUCAAGAUUUUUAUGGUGCUUUUCAUCAAAAUGUUGAAAACUGAAAGCUUCCAGCUGGCUCUCCUUACAGGUAAUAACUUAAUAGCUAACAGCUUUUCUCCCAAAGCUGCUGGAACCUGCUUGAGCCAUGGAAGCUGAUGGGAAAAGCCAGACCCAUCCUCUACAGUAAAUAUUUUCUGAUUUUUUUAAUCCUGCUGCUCUGCAAGUUUUUGAAACCAAAUGAAGCUGUGAAAACAAGGAGGAGUGACCAAGGGAAAAGUACGGGGCAGGGAAUAAAGUGACAGGACUUGGCUUUGUAGAUCAGCUUGCUGAGUCCAAGGGCUGCAGGGAUGAGAGCAUCCCCCUACAGCAACACAGGGCUGAAUCACUGGUUUCAAGGCAGAACUUGGCUCUGGGCUGUAGCAAGAGCUCCACAGUGAUUUACACUGCCCAGCUCAGCAGAGCUGCUGUGGUGAUCUUGAGGGCCAAAUGACAGCUUGGGGAUCAAGAGAGCCUGAUUUACAUCCAACAGUGACCAGAGGUCCUCUGCGUGAUUUUGGCCAAGCCAUUAUUGCGCUGUGUUUCAGUUCUGCAUUUCUGAAACAGCAGUUAACACAAUGAGACUGCCAAGCAGUGUCCCAAGAGCAGUUCUCAGCUUUGCCACAUUACAGAGGUCCCUCUGGCACAACUCUGAGCCAUUCCUGGAGCUCCCGGGAGCCCCUUUCCACUGCCAUCCACAGGGCCUGAGCUCUGCCUGCCCUGGGUCAGUGUCCUGCCACACAAGUCCAGCUGUCCCCGGGGUCACAGGCUGUGCCAGCAACCACCUACUCAAGAGCUGUGAUGUCCUCAGCACUUGCUCAGUCUCCCUGGGCCUUGGUUCCCCUCCUGUGUACUGGAGAUAACUCCCUGAUCUCACAGGAGAGUUUAAUUUCUCAUCCUUUGACAGCAAUGUGUUUUGAUGGGCUCAGCCUGUUUUCAGCUAAAUAUUUAAACAUUUAACCUGUAUAUAUGUGUGUAUAUAUGCACAUGCACAUGUGAAUUAUUAUUCAAAACCUCCAUCAUGCUUUUUAUGUAAAUCUGUUUUCAACUUUCUAAUUUCCCUUUUUUAUAUGCCUGUAUUAGGACAAGGUACUCUAGGAGUUCACUCUCAAAACCUUCUGUUGGAUGUUCACGUAAAUUGUAGCUCCAGACUUCUGUAUACUUAGUAAAUGAAAAGACGCUGUGCCACACUGUUGCCUCGGACAGCACGGAGCAGGGCAGAGCAGCAGACCCCUGCUUUGGCUCUCUUGCUGUUAGGCUGAGCCCCCUCUUCCCUUCCCACUGAAGGGGCACUUUGAACUUGAACUGGAUCCAGUCCCAAUAUACUUUGAAGAGGACAAACACAAACCUUCCUUUACUUAACUGUGCGUUGGGCAAUCUAAAAACCAUAUAAGCACUAAUCUAUUCAUUAUUCCAUCUCCUCCUCUUCCCUACAAUGAAGCACUGUUUUAUGCUCAUAUGUAUCAAUAAAUGGACCUAUAAAGAAAAUAAUGAACAUCCUUGAAUACCUUCUAUUAAUUUUAAAAGGGAUGCAACAUACUGCACCCCCUUGUAUUUCACCAAGAUAAAAGCCUGUAGAUUAAUUCCUAUUAAAACAGUUGGUAUUUUCAGGAUAUGCAGAUGUAAUUUAUGGAGAGGCAUAAUACUCAUAUUAGCUCAAAGGCUACAGAAACUGUAGAUCUGUGUCUGUUACUGUAGUUGUACAGGCAUUCAUUGUACAGAGAGCAGUUGGAAAGGCAGAGUAUGUAAUCUGAAUACUAAAUUUCUGAAUAGUUUCUCACUUGGGCUGGUUAGGCUUUUCAAGCGCAGCGGAUGCUUUGUGGGGGACUUUGUAAAACAUUCUGCUAAUAUAUCACAUGGUUCCUGUAUUUUCUUCUCUUAUCUUUACUGUCAGAGCUUUAUUCACGAAGACACAAUAUUUGAUUCUUAAAAGGGCACCAGCUCCUGCUCUGUGCUCUCCACCUGAAUUCAGUGUGCUCCGUGUGAGACUAUUUUUUACAACAAAUACUUCUUCCUUUCUCUAUAAAGUGGACAGCUUUAGGUGUAUAUAACCCAGAAGUAUACAAGAAACAGAUCUUUUACCUCACCCUCACAUAUUCCAAUUGCUAUAUCCAAGUUACUUGGAAAAUUGUAUUUUCUUUUUUAUCAUCCACAAUAAAAGUGUACAGAUUUUGUCUUUUA
This is a long non-coding RNA of Catharus ustulatus (Swainson's thrush), 2943 nucleotides long. RefSeq lists it as uncharacterized. The record is from RefSeq and is a predicted model, not a curated record. Lineage: Eukaryota; Metazoa; Chordata; Aves; Passeriformes; Turdidae. The transcript has 2 exons.